This 178-nucleotide ribosomal RNA is filed under the name uncultured Mycoplasma sp. RNAcentral describes it as "partial 16S ribosomal RNA". It matches the Rfam family "Bacterial small subunit ribosomal RNA", at positions 340 to 508 of the family's 1533-position model. Lineage: Bacteria; Bacillati; Mycoplasmatota; Mollicutes; Mycoplasmatales; Mycoplasmataceae. The record is from RNAcentral.
UACGGGAGGCAGCAGUGAGGAAUCUUCCACAAUGGGCGAAAGCCUGAUGGAGCAAUGCCACGUGAAUGAUAUGACAGUCUUUUGAUUGUAAAAUUCUUUUAUUUAAGAAAAAAUGCACCGGUAGGAAAUGACCAGUGUUUGAUUGUACUAAAUGAAUAAGCACCAGCUAACUAUGUGC